AUAUAUAUAUUAUAUAUAUAUGUAUAUAAUUAUAGUGAACACAUACAUUGUCAUGUUUUUUAUUCAUAGAAUCCUGCUGAAAUGUAAGCUAAUUGUAAUAAAUUAGCUCUGUUAUCUUAUUAGUUUGAAUUUAAGUCAAGAGAACACGAUUCCUUCAAUCUCCUUUUAGUUUGGGUUUCGGAGAAUGGGACACCAAUAGUGAUGUUUUGGGUAUCGCAACGUUUCUUCACUAUAAACUGAACUGAUGUUGCAUGCUUCAUGGAUAUAGGAUGGUGCAUCUAAAAUGUUUUCAAUCUCGUUGGGAAAAUAUUGCAUCCCCAUUGAGUGAAACGGCUCCUGAGUGACACAAUAACAGCCUCAUCUAUACUAUAUAAAGACACUAAGCACCCCCACCGUCUCAAACCACAUUUAAAAUAAUUCAGUUAAACAGCCUAGACAUGUUUUCUUCCUUGAAAUUCAACUUUCAAGUAAAUUAGAUCUUCUCUUGGGCUUUUGAUGUAUCUUGUAACAGAAAAACAAAGCCAAUUGUUUUCCCAUGAAAACAGAUAAUGAUCUUCCUAGUUUAGAAUACAGGGCAAACUUAUUUUGGAAUACAUUACUAUUCCGUAGAAUUACGAUCUGGGCACUAAAGGUUAACAGUACAAAGCAUUGCAGUUUUUAUUUCUUUUUCAAAAUUCUGCUUUUAUUGUAGACUAAUCAGGGCUGAUUAAGCUAUUGAAACAAAGCUUUUUUUGCCAUGUGCAUAAUGUCUGUAGUUCGAUGACACACUAUUAAUCAAUAAUAUCAUUACGCAUCACCAAUUCUGGUUACAUUCAUUUGCAACCUAUAAGCCCAAGCGUUGUUAGAUUGACGCUGUUAAUGGGCUUUUAACAGAUUCUCUCUUUUUCACCAAUCUGCUAAAGCAGGCCUGUCGCGUUCAAACAUGGUUCAUUACAAGUUACUGAACCUCAAAGAGAAGUCAGAAUUCUUUAAAAGUAGGUUCAGUGGUAGAAGUUAAGUGCAAUUAUGUCCCAUACUUGAAUUUUGAAUGACAAAGAUUCAGCAGUAGCGUUAUUUACUAAAAUUAUUACAAUAUUUGAAUUGUGAUUUUACAUCCUAUAUAAAAAUCAUAGAAAUUGUACGGAUAUGUAUUGUAAAGGCAUGGUUUUAAGAGCAUUUUAAUGCAGUGUCCUUGUCUUACUCUUCUACAUGAACAGUUCCGGACAGAGACAACUGUGGUAGGGUGAUUUGGUAAUUAUGAGUGCAGUACUGUCACAUUUCAUUUCAUUUGCUACCUGCUAUCAGGGCCGAAACAAAUAAGGGCUGAACGUGGUCUUCAAUUAAAAUGUGAAAAACUGUGUGGAAGACAAGCUAUGGGGAGUUCCUUAGUGCAUUCCAGCUCCGUCUUUGCUUAGAGAUUACCCGUGGCAGGUUGAUUUAAUCAUCUGCGGUAAGGGAACUAAUUAAAAUUUCUGCGCCCAUUUUGGUGAAAAGGCCUUUACAAUAGAAUUACCUUGACACGCUGUUGUCCCCCUCCGGGCCAUCUGUAUGCAGACACGGUGCUGCUUCUCAGCGCGCUUGACACGUCUUAUCUCCGGCGGUCGUCCACAGGUGUUCUCGGUCACGGGAGUGAGAUCCAAAUGCUGUGCAGGGACUGGGAUGCAGCCUAAUGCUGUUUACUCUCCCCAGUACAAGUGGCUUGCUGCGUUGCAGAAGUGAAGCAUCUCCGGUUUUAAAAAUUAUAAUAGUGGCCAACAUUUACAAGCUACAGACAAGCUUUUUUUCAUUUUUAAAGCUUUAACAACCUUUAGUUGUAGAUGAACAAAGUUGUCUUUUAAGGAUCAUUGUGUGUGCAGUGGUGAUGGCUGAGGUACACGACUCUGUUUUACAAUACACAAAGCCCCGUGUUAAACAGAGUAGCGCUCUGCUUGUGACCCACAUAAGCAACAAGUUAAGUUCAUGACAUCUUGCAACAUGAAAGUGGACAGCUGUUCUCCCAACAGCUGUCACAACUAAAAAUGACACUACAGUACUUUAACUCAAUUGAGCCCCAGAGAGAUGGACUAAACAUCUACAGUAACUAUAGUUAUAUACUGUAACCUUUAAACCUAAUAAAAUGUACUGACAUCGCCCUUUGUUCCCUCUCCCUUGUAAUUACAAAGUGUUUUUUAAUACGAGCCAUGAAAAUCAGAAAUGGAUGCCCUUCUGGUUGCAUUAUGAUGUGUUUUACAAAAAAAUAAGAUGGCAACAGCACAAAAGACAAACCAAAGAGGGUUCGCUGUGUCGCCUCACAGUAAGAAGGUCUUGGGCUCUGUGUGGAGUUUGCAUGUCCCUGUGCCUGCGUGGGCUCUCUCCAGGUACUCCGGUUUCCUUCCCAAAGUUCAAAAACAUGUUAUUUGGUUCUCUGAAUUGCCCAUUGGUCCACUUGGGGGGACACAAUGUUUGUCUGUCUCUGUCAGCCCUGUGCUUGACUUUACACGAUCCCUCGCUCAAUUUAAGAUGGGAUUGACUCUAACCUUUGAUCCUGUAAGAACAAGUGGUAUGGAAAACAUGCACUCGCUGUUUUCUUGACAAAAUAGUUUGACACAGUUUUUUUUAGGAUAAUUUCUGUAAUGCAUUCUAGGUGGAUCAAUUUUACAUUUUACGAAGACAUGAGACAACUAAACCAAUCAUUACUGAACAAUAAUGUUUAGUAGUACUGCGCCUCAAGCCGGGUCUAACAAUAGGUUGAUUGUGAUUGCGGUACACCUGCACAUGCUCUGCAUAUUUUGUGUCUGUGUAUUCAUAAAACUCACUCACAAGGUCAGGGUUCUUUAGUCUUACCUUAAUUUGCAGAAAUGUAAUGUCCAUCUCUGGUUCUUUAAGCAACCACACAGGAAUUAUUGGGCAAAUGACAGUAGGGAUAAGCUCUAUAUCAGUCACUCCUAGCUUCUUGCUGCUGCUCCCUCUAUCUAUCCAAAACUUGUCUUUGGUCCAUUGUGCCUUUCCCAGCAUGCCUGUAACACUUUUUUAGUUGGGUGAUGACCUCUCAGGUUUAUCCAAUAAUUAACCAACAGCUGCUUUCUGCAAUGAUACAAUGGCAUUUCUCCAUCUACCCAGCAAUAGGACUUUCACACUACCCUGUGGUGUCCCAUUUUCUACUUCACAUUUCUUGGACUUUUCCGUUCCUAUUCUUACCUGGAUAAUUAUUUUACUUAGAAAAGAGGUUCCCCUUAAAUAAUGCCACUGUCGUCCGCACCCCUCCCGUCGGCCGUCGAACCUGAAAUUAGUUUGACACCCCUGCUCUACAUAAUACAUUAAUCUCUCGUUUACCAUCCGUUCCACAAGCUUGCAUAUAUGUGAUGUUAGGGCUAUUGGUCUAAAAUUUGAUGGGUCACUUGCAUCUUUCCCCGGCUUCCUUAAAGGGACAAUCACAGCGUCCUUCUACCUUGCUGGUAUGCUACCUUCCUCCCACACCUUGCUGUAUAAUGUUUAGUAACUUAUUCAUCCCCUCUCCACUUAAUUGCUUUAACAUAAUAUACCAUAUUUGAGUAUUUCCUGGGGCAGUCAUUCCAGCUUUGACAACUGCUCUUUUUAACUCCCCUGUUGAAAACAGUACAUUCAAUUAAUCUUCAGUUUUCUCCUUCUUCCUCAAUGCCUCAAUUUUUACAUCUUGUUUCCUCUCCAGUUCGCUUUUCUUCCUUAGACAGAUUGUUAUUGCUGUGUAUCUUUACAAAAGGUAUUAGCCAAUGUCUCAGCCUUCUGUUUAUUCUUCUUCUCCAGCUUUUCCACAGGAUAACUCCUCUCUCUUCUGUUCCCUCCCAUCUUUCUAAUCAUCCCCCCACACUUCUCCUACUGAGGUUGUAUUUCCAACUGUGUCACAAAACUUCCUCCAGUGUGUCCUUUUUGGUUGCCUUAUUGUCUUUCUCACUAUUGCCUGUGCUUUUUUAAACUAUCCGAUAUUGAUAUAUAGAUCAUAUAGUUCUUUUCAUUAACUUAAAUGCCCGGUUUCUUUUUAUAAUUGCCUCUUUACACGUAUUGCUCCACCAUUGUACCGUUUUUUUCUGUUUGAUUUUACUUUUUAGUAUAGAUUCUAGCGCAGCUGCCCUAAUGCCUUCUGUUAUAAUAUAAUUUAGGGUUUCUAUAGGCGUAUCAUCAUUAAUCUUCCUUAGAUGCUGAUCGCUCUUUUCCUUAAAUCCUACAUGAUACACCUUCCAUUCAAACACUGCCGCAAUAUUAUUGGACACUAGUGAGAGGUCUAGUACAGACUCCUUUCCUGUCCUGAUAUGUAUCUUGCUAUUACUCCCAUCAUUUAGGCCAGAGGUGCCCAAUCUUUUUUGAACCAUGAUCUACUUUUAAAGUUGAUAGUGUAUCGAGAUCUCCCAAGCCAUCUAUUGAAAGCCGUAGCGUAGCCACAAUUCAUUGCGCACCUAUAUUAGGACACUGUUUUCUGACACAUAGAUACAGUUUUAGUAAGUAAAUGUGAAUUUGCAAGGAAUAAGCACAAGUAGGCCUAGGACUGGCCCGUAACAACACAACAGACAAACAACCCAAAUAAUACAAUGCCUAAUUCUUGGAACUUUUAUAAGAACUAAUUCAAGUUGGAAAAGUGGUAUUUCUAUACCUUAGUGGGAUUUCUGGCACUGAGAGGAGGAAGCUAGUCUCUCAUAGUCCGGACAGUAAGAGCUGAGUACCAGCCGUAAGCAGACUGCAAGGUGGUCAUCAGUCAUGGUGGAUCUGUAUUUUGACUUGAUGAUUUUCAUAUGUGAAAAGGCAGACUCACACAAAUAUGUUGAUCCAAAAAGUGCAGUCAAAUUCUCUGCAGUUUGUCUGAGGUUGGGGUACUUCUCUUUCUGCAUUAGAUUCUAGAAUUGGACAUUCAUGUCAGGUGUUGCUCUGGAUUUGAGCUCAAUGUCAUUCUUCAGUGUGAGGAUCUCAUUCUCAACAGCACAGCUAUCAGGGUUGAAGAGUGAUGCCACUUUGGACGUUAUACAAUCCACAUCUAUAUUUCCCCCAAAUGGAAAACAGAUAGCUGACAACAGGCUCAAUGGACGCAAAGUCAGUGAAGCGCCUGUCAAAUUCUGACAAGAUGCUCUGCACUUGCUCAUCAUAACGUGCACUCUCAAGCUCCGCCCAGUCUUUGCCCAUAGCCUGGACUGCCAAUGCAAACGCAUUGGCCGUGAGACCCACGCAUUUGAUGAAUUUCACACGCUCUCACGCCACACCUCCGAUUUCUCACGCCAAAAAAAUUGGGAGACUACCAUUGAAAAAGAGGGGCGCCAGACCAUAACAGUAAUGUAAGGUUCCCUUUCCUGUCCAUGGUCACGUUUACAACGAGCUCGGUAUCGCGCUGCGCCGAUACAUCCGCGCGCUCCGGAGCAGAAAGCGCGUCGUCGGUGUUCGUCUGCACCCCCCAUACACUUAUGGUUAAUAAAGUUAUUACUUAUUUGGGCAUAUGAAUUAUAUUUAUGAUUAUAAUUCUCUCGUUUAUCACAAAUAUUAGCAUUAAAUCAUAAUUUGGAGGGUACAUGGUUUUCACGAGGCAGGAAAGGUUUGAAAUUUGUAACCAGCCAUUUCAUUUAAUGUACUGUAGUGGAGUUUAAAGUACAGUGUUUGCCUCUAAAAUACAGCAGAGCAGACUAAAUUGAAGUUGCAUGAAUUCCUCAAAUGUCUACAUUAGUAAAUAUACUGUACAUUUCACCACUGGGUAAAAGCCUUAUGCUGUGUUUUGUAUUUGUUUUCAGAAUGAGACAGGGAUGGGCUGUGAGAGCUCUCCAGCAUCAUCCACUGUACUUCUAGAAAAUAAUCCAGCACUCUGGCCAAAACAGCUGUCGGAUAGUGCACGCUGCUCAAUAGUGGAGAGAGGACCACUUCAGGUGAAGGACAGGAUCUUCCCAAGGAAUGAAGACGGGCGCAGAUUUACCAGCAGCAACUACUACAUGCAGAUGAAAAAUGGAGAACAGAUAUGCAGAUCAUGGCUUGUCUACAGUAAAAAGAAGGACCGUGUUAUUUGUUUUUGCUGCCGCCUAUUUGGAAACCGAGAAAGGAGCAAUCAGCUGAGUGAGGAUGGGUUUAAUGAUUGGAAAAAUAUUUCAGCCGACCUGAGACAGCAUGAAAAGUCUGCUGAGCACAUUGCAAAUAUGGAUGCUUGACGCAACCUAUCGCAGAAACUCCAGACACACACUAUCAAUCAGAAGAACCAAAAUCUUCUCAUUUCAGAGGGCCCCAUGCCUGCCUCUGCCUUGGGCCCCAAAUUUCUUAAAUCCGCCACUGCCUACUGCCAUUUGGUCUCUGUUCUCCCCUUGCAUAAUUCACUUCUCAAUAUUCUGGCCAGUUGUAAUGGAUCCAUCCUUCAUAUUGUAUCACUACAUUAGGCAUUUUUUCUUUGGUUCCCAAACUUCCUUUUCUUCGGUUUCAUCCAAACUUGCUUCCCUCUUUUUUUUCUUCUUUUGCGCACCAUUGUCCAUUCACUCUCCUUCCCUAUUGGUGUCUCUUCCUCACUUAGCGCCAUGCUAUCACUAUAUCGUUCUCACAGCCAUCCCCCCACCAACAAUGACUACGCGCCUUACUCUUGCGCUCCUAGCCACCCCCCAAAUGUAUCUUAAAUGUCUGGUUGUUUCGCUCCACAGCUGAUCUCCUCUCCCUCCGACCACCCCUUCAAGGUAUGUCCUUAUUUUCAUCCCCCUCCUUCUCCCUGUCCCGCCCUAAAGUCCGGCCUUAAUCAGGUGGCCUAAACACUUACACCCGUGUAAGUUUCGAGGCCUUCUGGGAGCUGUAGUUCCAUCUGCAGCCGCCAUUUUGUAGGGGGCCAGCUACCCCUUAAAGGGGAAGUAGCACCCAUCAACCAGUUGGCCCCGUGUGAUGCCACAGUAUGAUAGUGGAUUAUGGAUUGAUGUUCUUCAGAUUUGUCUUAAAUAUGUUGAUAAGUGACUGCAUGCAUAUCCUGCUACUCUAGCUUAAAUGCCUUUCGUGUUCUGACGACCUUUGACGUUUGCAUAAUUUGUGUUGGUUAAAAUGGAUUUUCCUAAUGUCUUGACGUUUACAUGGAACAUGUUUGCGAACUGUCAAGCUAGAAAUUACAAUUAACGGUCAUCCAAAAACAAUUUAUUUUGUGUGCACACUAAUAUGCAACGUUUAGGGAAAUGUAAACAGGUGUACUUAAAGGCUCAAAUGCUGUUACUCAAUAAUGUCAUCUAACCGUAUUAUACAAAAACAAUACGGUACUUGGGGCAGUACUUUAUCACGGGAGAACAAGGAUUAGGACCCAAAUGCAACCACAGGAGCAAGCAUAUGGUUACCAAAUUUAUUCGUCGCUCCAAAAAGACAAUUCACGACAUGAGUCCCGUGACUCGACGUCAGAAGGUAGGCGGAUCAGGACAUGAGUCCCGUGACUCGACGUCAGAAGGUAGGCGGAUCACGACAUGAGUCCCGUGACUCGACGUCAGAAGGUAGGCGGAUCACGACAUGAGUCCCGUGACUCGACGUCAGAAGGUAGGCGGAUCACGACAUGAGUCC
Molecule: long non-coding RNA, 7473 nt
Organism: Gasterosteus aculeatus aculeatus (three-spined stickleback)
Lineage: Eukaryota; Metazoa; Chordata; Actinopteri; Perciformes; Gasterosteidae
Source: Ensembl